Molecule: long non-coding RNA, 460 nt
Filed under: Pan troglodytes (chimpanzee)
Lineage: Eukaryota; Metazoa; Chordata; Mammalia; Primates; Hominidae
Description: long non-coding RNA NONPTRT012818
Source: RNAcentral
GGGAGAUCAGUCUUAAAUCCAUCUCCCUGGCCACUAAAAUUAGGGGUUUAUGUAGCAGGGAAGAUGUGUAAUAAUGUGUAAGAAAGCAGGAACUAGGGAGGGGCAAGGAAGCAAUCAUGAUGAAUGAGGGCCUGGCAUCUCAUUGUCUGGAUAUGAUUAGCUGAUAAUUGGAGAGAAGAAAGAAAAUGCAGCCAAACAUGACUGAAAUGCUGUAAGACUGAAGGAGAGAAGAAACAGUAUUGCAAACAGGAGAAGGCUUGGCCAGCAUCACCUUAGUUAGCAAGAUUGUGUUGGGCAGCCAGGCAGAGCCAGCCACUUAUGAGAUACCCACAUUACAGGGCCAUCAUCAUCAAAUUAUGCUCAAAAUGCCUCCACUUUUCUUUAGUUGUAUUUCCUAUCUUGAUAAGAUCUUUUGGUCUUUCCAAUGAUGUAGAAUGUGCCAUGGGUGCUACUAGCCAGG